This 519-nucleotide ribosomal RNA is filed under the name uncultured bacterium. Its description in RNAcentral is "partial 16S ribosomal RNA". It matches the Rfam family "Bacterial small subunit ribosomal RNA", at positions 29 to 523 of the family's 1533-position model. The record is from RNAcentral.
AGCGAACGUUAGCGGCAGGCCUAACACAUGCAAGUCGCACGAGAAUUCGGCUUCGGCCGAUAGUAAAGUGGCGGACGGGUGAGUAACACGUGGAUAAUCUGCCCUUCGGCGGGGGACAACAGUCCGAACGGAUUGCUAAUACCGCAUACGUCAACGAGGUCUUCGGACCUUGUUGGGAAAGGUGGCCUCUUCAUGAAAGCUACCACCGAAGGAUGAGUCCGCGUCCCAUCAGCUAGUUGGCGGUGUAAUGGACCACCAAGGCUAAGACGGGUAGCUGGUCUGAGAGGAUGAUCAGCCACACUGGGACUGAGACACGGCCCAGACUCCUACGGGAGGCAGCAGUGGGGAAUAUUGGGCAAUGGGCGCAAGCCUGACCCAGCCAUGCCGCGUGAGUGAUGAGGGCCUUCGGGUCGUAAAGCUCUGUGGGGAGGGAAGAAACGGCUUGUGGCUAACAUCCACGAGCCCUGACGGUACCUCCUUAGCAAGCACCGGCUAACUCCGUGCCAGCCGCCGCAGUAA